AUGCAGUCGAGCGGCAGCGGGAAAGUAGCUUGCUACUUUUGCCGGCGAGCGGCGGACGGGUGAGUAAUGCCUGGGGAUCUGCCCAGUCGAGGGGGAUAACAGUUGGAAACGACUGCUAAUACCGCAUACGCCCUACGGGGGAAAGGAGGGGACCUUCGGGCCUUUCGCGAUUGGAUGAACCCAGGUGGGAUUAGCUAGUUGGUGGGGUAAUGGCUCACCAAGGCGACGAUCCCUAGCUGGUCUGAGAGGAUGAUCAGCCACACUGGAACUGAGACACGGUCCAGACUCCUACGGGAGGCAGCAGUGGGGAAUAUUGCACAAUGGGGGAAACCCUGAUGCAGCCAUGCCGCGUGUGUGAAGAAGGCCUUCGGGUUGUAAAGCACUUUCAGCGAGGAGGAAAGGUUGGCGCCUAAUACGUGUCAACUGUGACGUUACUCGCAGAAGAAGCACCGGCUAACUCCGUGCCAGCAGCCGCGGUAAUACGGAGGGUGCAAGCGUCAAUCGGAAUUACUGGGCGUAAAGCGCACGCAGGCGGUUGGAUAAGUUAGAUGUGAAAGCCCCGGGCUCAACCUGGGAAUUGCAUUUAAAACUGUCCAGCUAGAGUCUUGUAGAGGGGGGUAGAAUUCCAGGUGUAGCGGUGAAAUGCGUAGAGAUCUGGAGGAAUACCGGUGGCGAAGGCGGCCCCCUGGACAAAGACUGACGCUCAG
RNAcentral lists this ribosomal RNA (707 nucleotides) under uncultured bacterium. RNAcentral describes it as "bacterial SSU rRNA". It matches the Rfam family "Bacterial small subunit ribosomal RNA", at positions 55 to 750 of the family's 1533-position model. The record is from RNAcentral.